This 385-nucleotide ribosomal RNA is filed under the name uncultured eukaryote. RNAcentral describes it as "partial 18S ribosomal RNA". It matches the Rfam family "Eukaryotic small subunit ribosomal RNA", at positions 592 to 975 of the family's 1831-position model. The record is from RNAcentral.
CAAUAGCGUAUAUUAAAGUUGUUGCAGUUAAAAAGCUCGUAGUUGGAUUUCUGGUGGGGCUGUCGGCCUGGCUCCGAAAGGGGUCGGUGCUUGAACACGCCUGGCCAUCCUCGGGGGAAGCUUUGCUGGCAUUAGGUUGUCGGCGGAGUGACGCUCGUCGUUUACUGUGAACAAAUUAGAGUGUUCAAAGCAGGCUUAGGCCGUUGAAUACAUUAGCAUGGAAUAAUGAGAUAGGACUUUGGUGGUCUAUUUUGUUGGUUUGCACGCCGAAGUAAUGAUUAAUAGGGGCGGUUGGGGGUAUUCGUAUUCAAUUGUCAGAGGUGAAAUUCUUGGAUUUAUGGAAGACGAACUACUGCGAAAGCAUUUACCAAGGAUGUUUUCAUUA